UUUUGGGGGGAGGGAAGAGAGCGAUUAAUCAUCCCGGCCCGGCUUCAACGGGUUUCAUACAAGUGCUCCGGGCAGCAUCGUCUGGAUGGAAGGCGAAGCGGUCGUGUUAAUGAAUGGAAUAUUUGUGUGAGAACGGAAGGGGAGUCGGGGGGGAGAGGAGGGGGGAGGCUGCAGGAGGGGAGGAGGAGGUGUGGGAAGUGGAAGGACUGCUGGAAACCGCUUCCACACUUCAAGGGCUUCGGUGACAGGGAAGCUGCUCCGUUCAGCCCCGUCAGCAGGUUUUGUUCACGCGUGUGCGUGUGCGUGCGUGUGCGUGCGUGUGUGUGUGUGUGUGCGUGCGUGUGUGUGUGCGUGGUGCCGGUCCACAGGGAAUAAAAACCCCUGGUGUUGUUGUUCAUUAAAGCGAGGACACUUUCCUUCAUGGGCGCAGGAGGACGAGCGCACGCGCUAUUCGAUACAUUAGCGAUGUGCAGACGGGCCUCGUGUCAGAAUCACGCUACCAGUCACAUUCUCAUCCACCUUUUAGUGGACAUGAUUUAAUAGAUUUAAUUUAGCAUUUGAUGAAGAACGCGCUCAGAUUUAGUUAAUUCUCAUCUGACAUUUUGAUUGGAUUCCACAUGAAUAUGCAUCAAUACGUAUUACAAUUAUUUUCUGUCACUUUAUUUCAGAUUACUCAUUACUCAUUGGAACCUGAAGAAAAACAGGUAAAUUGUAUCUUCACGGGGCCUUUUGAACCCUAAAAAGAAACAGAUCAUCACAGAAUAAAGUGCAUGUAGAUGCGUGAACGUCACCAUCAGCACCAUGGGAGCCCCGGAGAGUUCACAAGUAACCAAAGAACUCAGACCAUGAGUACACGCGUGAAGGACCGUCUCAAACCUUUGUGAUUAAUCGCGGCGCCGCAGGCGAUGCUCUGAGUGCGACGUGAUAAAAAAACCUCCAUCCAACAGCAAUCAAGUCAAGUCGAAUAUUACUGAGAUUAGUGACUGCAAUCGAAUUGUCCAAUUAAAAAACAAUUUAAAAAUCAAUAAACUGCUGCUACUGUGUUUCCUUUUUAAAAGGGAAGGAAUCAAAUCAGUCGGCAUGAAGCGAACAUUUUAAAAACGUUUAAAUCCGUUAGACACAAGCGGCCAGUCGGAUCCCCGCUGCCUGCUACUAAACGAUAGCGAGGGAACCAUGCGAGAGCACUUUGUAACGUUCAGGAGGCACAAUGAAGAAGAGCUGAACGUGAAACCACUCGGGUCGGCGGCACGGUGACGCGGCGGCACGGUGGCACGUGACACGGCGGCACUGUGGCACCCGGCAGCACGGCGCAGCCAUCCCCGGCUGGCACAUCGGACACCCAUUCACUCCGUGACAGGGUGUCACGCCACAUGAUUUAUGACGGGUAAUUACCGUUGUGGAGGUGACAUCAUAUCGUGCAGGCUGCCUCCCGCACGCCGCCAUGCUGUGUGUGUGUGUGUUUGUGACUAAUUAGUUAUGCUGUCUGGAUCCGGCAGCGGGACCGUCUUUGUUUUCCAAAGGGAACGGAAGACGAGGCAUGUCACAACAACGCAUCUCCCCCCAGACGAGCAGCAGCACACAGCGGGCGGCGUGGCGCGCUUAAGGCCCCGGCGUUGCACGCGUCCACAAAAGACCACGUUUCCCUGCUCAGAUGUUCGUCCUCCGUUCACCUCGGCAACAGAGUAGGCGCUCAAGCCAACGGCGGCGAGGGAACAGGUCAUUACGCUGCACCUCAGCGCUGCCGACAGGAUUUGGCGCGACAAAAAUGAGGAAACGGAAAGAUCAUGAACACAAUUUCUCUCUCCUGUACACAUCUGCUGAUUUGCUUGCCGGUUCUAAAUGAAGGCGUUGACGAGAGCCGCACGCUCUCGUGUUGUUUGAGGAGUCGGGAGGCCAACAACCACUGACUGCAGAUAAUGUGCUGCGGUCACUCUGGAAAAAAAAAAAACCCCCAGAAGAAACGAAGGAAGUGGAGAUAAGACCCGAUGCUGUGAGUCACCAGAAAGAGGCUCUGCUUCUGUUUUUCUCUCGAGCAGACUCGUUCCUGCGUGGCCUCGUAGCCACGUAGCUUCAUGUCCAUGUUCAACGUCCACAUGUUCACUUCAAAUUGCUCUUCAGGACGUUGCAGCAAAUCCAAACAGCUCAUUCCUCUCAGAGGUCGCCGUAGAUCAGCGUCGAGAUGCUGUACAUACACAACCCUUUGACCCUCGACCUUGCAAAAGCGACCUUUAGCUGCUCUUCACGCUGCUCUCACGGUUGGAAAAACUGUUUUUUCAGCGAUGGCGAGUUAAACAACGGAGCCACUGCUGCGUUUAAGUUCACAUGAUCAUAAAUACAUAAUGUGUAUGCAGCUGUCCAGAUGGUUUUGUUGGGGUUACAAAGUCGUCACACGGACACAAAUGGGGCCUUGACGAAAUAUUUUCCCCAAGACGUUACGUUACUUCGUUGAUGGAUGAGCCUCGUGUAGAGAAUAUGAUCAGAUAUGUAUGAAUACUGAGCGAUAAAGAGUCUGUUAAAGCAAAACUCCCAGUGAACAGUAAAGAUAAUCUUUAAAAUAGCAUCAUAAAUGUGACUACGAAUUCCAGUCUCAUGGAUCUUGGAAUUAACGGUGAUAUUUUCCUUUGAAGUUCUGAUUAUAUCACAUAAGAAAUGAUGAAUAUCCCAUGUUUCCCUUUAUUAGAGUCUCUGUUUACAGAAAUGGUAGAUAAGAAUUCACAUUCCGUAGGACAGAAAUAUGCGCUUGAGCCUUGAGGUUGAGGAGUUCUUCCUGACUCGUGUCCGGUAUGUUUUUUUAGGCCUCGUCUGCUCUUUCCCGUCCUCUGCUGAUGCAACAUCAAACCCAACCUUCUGCCACCAUCCCAUCAAGCCGCAGACGAGAGUAUAAAAAGAAUAUCAUGCAUGCGAGAUGCUCCUCUUUGCUAAAAGUGUUGUUUGUGCGGUUCUACUCAUCCGGAGGUGGGCGGCCUCUCGCUUUAGGGGAAGAAAAGCAGCUCAGGACGCUAAACCUGCAGGAAACAUGGAGGACUGACUUGAAAGAAAACCGCCUGGCUCAACGGUGAACCCGGCCUGGUCUUUAAUGUUUCCGUAGCCCACCGUCAUCCCCCAAAUAGCACGAGAACAUCUCCCAAAGCCCACCAAAGGCUUUGUCUUCCCGAGGACCCGGCAGGGAGCUCAGAGCCUCAAAACCAAUUCCUAAGAGUUUAGUAAUCAAAGGGAGGUCGUUGCCAGUUCUCCCACCGCCGUGUUUCAUGGAGGAAAAACUCCCAUGUGACAGACGAGAGCGAAACACACCACAACACCUGAACAGUUGGCUCAGGUGUCGGUCCGUCUGCCUCCGUCUGGUAUCAACAUCCUUUCCGACCACCUCCGGCCCCCCAGAGGAGCUGGAAUCCGACCACGGGAGCUGUUUAGCAUAUUUCCUAGUAGUGUGCUUUCGCACCCUGCGGCUUCGUGCUUAAUUGCUGCCUAUAUUUCUCUCUUUCAGGGAGUGAAUCGUCUUGCAGCGACUUGAGUUUAAGACCGAACGAAUCUCCGAUAGGUAACAUUCUGCAGAGAAAACCACAUACCUGCGGUUUCCUUGGAUUCAAAUAUCAAGUUUUGCUUUUUAAAGACCGCCCCCGUCCGUCUGUCCGUGAGAGGUUUUCAGGUUUUACUUCAGCCUGAAACUGACAACAUGAUUUCCUUGUGGAUUGCUGAACUGACCACAGGAGCAGUUCACAGUUUAUUCUGCUCUGGUCCCGAUCACAUGCGUUGGCCUGUCCUUCCAGAAGAAAAGAAGAUCGAUGAUGACGACCGUCCAAGGAGAUGAUGUCGUUUAGGGGGUCAGAGUAGCGGUGACACACUCCUAUCGGGGCAUUUAAAUUCACGCGGCGUGUAGGUCGUCUGCUUUCGGGAUGUCUCACAUCUGUCAGACGCAGAUUACAACUUCAACACGACAUCCGUAACAACAACUGCAGCGUCACCUGACACGACGCGUCCUUCACUGUGCAAAACCAGACUUCCCACUCUGAAAUGUGAGCCCUCAAGAGGAGGCGGAUGGGAGCCGGCGUGUUCUCUCUGUUCAAGCACAACACGCGGUGACUCACGGCUGCUCUCGUCCUGACAAACUGCCUUUGGCACGUUGCUCAACAACGAGAUCUCGGCGUGCAGCACACCGUGUGCCGCGGUAGUCUGACUGCACAGUGGGGCCCCCGAGCCGGGACGUAUUGGCGGAGUGAUGCUGCACGUCUCCCGAGCGCAACAAAAACC
This is a long non-coding RNA of Gasterosteus aculeatus aculeatus (three-spined stickleback), 4248 nucleotides long. The record is from Ensembl. Lineage: Eukaryota; Metazoa; Chordata; Actinopteri; Perciformes; Gasterosteidae.